This 216-nucleotide long non-coding RNA is filed under the name Mus spicilegus (steppe mouse). RNAcentral's name for it is "lncRNA (ENSMSIG00000017113.1)". Lineage: Eukaryota; Metazoa; Chordata; Mammalia; Rodentia; Muridae. The record is from RNAcentral.
AUGUCAAGAUUGCUUGUGUAAAUAAGUGGUGCCAUGAGCUGACAGUGACUUUCUGUCCCUCUAGUCCUACCUCAAGAAUGUACUGACUCACCCUUCUCAACUGAUGACCGUCCUCGUACAAAAUCCUCACUGACCGUGGGCUCUAGAAAACGCCGGAACAAGUUCCAUCUGCCUCUGACUACAGGAGUAAACUACCACUUCCAUGGAAUACACAUA